This 317-nucleotide ribosomal RNA is filed under the name Staphylococcus aureus. Its description in RNAcentral is "bacterial SSU rRNA". It matches the Rfam family "Bacterial small subunit ribosomal RNA", at positions 498 to 814 of the family's 1533-position model. The record is from RNAcentral. Lineage: Bacteria; Bacillati; Bacillota; Bacilli; Caryophanales; Staphylococcaceae.
UAACUACGUGCCAGCAGCCGCGGUAAUACGUAGGUGGCAAGCGUUAUCCGGAAUUAUUGGGCGUAAAGCGCGCGUAGGCGGUUUUUUAAGUCUGAUGUGAAAGCCCACGGCUCAACCGUGGAGGGUCAUUGGAAACUGGAAAACUUGAGUGCAGAAGAGGAAAGUGGAAUUCCAUGUGUAGCGGUGAAAUGCGCAGAGAUAUGGAGGAACACCAGUGGCGAAGGCGACUUUCUGGUCUGUAACUGACGCUGAUGUGCGAAAGCGUGGGGAUCAAACAGGAUUAGAUACCCUGGUAGUCCACGCCGUAAACGAUGAGU